RNAcentral lists this ribosomal RNA (515 nucleotides) under uncultured bacterium. Its description in RNAcentral is "bacterial SSU rRNA". It matches the Rfam family "Bacterial small subunit ribosomal RNA", at positions 15 to 518 of the family's 1533-position model. The record is from RNAcentral.
GAUCCUGGCUCAGGAUGAACGCUAGCUACAGGCUUAACACAUGCAAGUCGAGGGGCAUCAGGAUCUGUGCUUGCACAGAUUGCUGGCGACCGGCGCACGGGUGAGUAACGCGUAUCCAACCUUCCCCUUAGUAGAGGAUAGCCCGGCGAAAGUCGGAUUAAUACUCUAUGUUGUUCAAUGCGGACAUCUAAGUUGAACCAAAGGUUUACCGCUAAGGGAUGGGGAUGCGUCUGAUUAGGUAGUAGGCGGGGUAACGGCCCACCUAGCCAACGAUCAGUAGGGGUUCUGAGAGGAAGGUCCCCCACAUUGGAACUGAGACACGGUCCAAACUCCUACGGGAGGCAGCAGUGAGGAAUAUUGGUCAAUGGGCGCGAGCCUGAACCAGCCAAGUAGCGUGCCAGGAUGACGGCCCUAUGGGUUGUAAACUGCUUUUAUGCGGGGAUAAAGUGCACCACGUGUGGUGUUUUGUAGGUACCGCAUGAAUAAGGACCGGCUAAUUCCGUGCCAGCCGCCGC